UACGUAGGGUGCAAGCGUUGUCCGGAAUCAUUGGGCGUAAAGCGCGCGUAGGUGGCUUUGUAAGUCCGUUGUGAAAGUCAAAGGCUCAACCUUUGAAUGCCGAUGGAUACUGCGGAACUAGAGUACGGAAGGGGCGAGUGGAAUUCCUGGUGUAGCGGUGGAAUGCGCAGAUAUCAGGAGGAACACCAAUAGCGAAGGCAGCUCGCUGGGACGUUACUGACACUAAGGCGCGAAAGCGUGGGGAGCGAACGGG
This 253-nucleotide ribosomal RNA is filed under the name uncultured bacterium. RNAcentral describes it as "partial 16S ribosomal RNA". It matches the Rfam family "Bacterial small subunit ribosomal RNA", at positions 524 to 776 of the family's 1533-position model. The record is from RNAcentral.